AUGGGACUAGGCAGAGUUUUGAGUUACUUUACUCUAGCAAUCUUCAUUCAAUAUUCCUGCAGUCAGACACUGAUCGAAUCUGAUCCAGUGACCAUCAAACCUGAUCAGUCUCAUAAACUGACCUGCACAGCCUCUGGAUUUAACUUUGGUAGCUACUGGAUGGCUUGGAUCAGACAGGCGCCUGGAAAAGGGCUGGAAUUUGUUGCAACUAUUGAGGGUGAUAGUGAUAGGAAGUAUUACUCCAGUGCUGUUCAGGGCCGCUUCACCAUCUCCAGAGACAACAGUAAGAAGCAGGUGUAUCUGCAGAUGAACAACAUGAGGACAGAAGACACAGCAGUUUAUUACUGCCUACAUAUAGAGAAAUAUCAGCCACUGUCACUGUGGGCUCUGGAGAAGUACAAAUUGUUUGAGAACAUUUAA
Non-coding RNA from Tachysurus vachellii, 420 nucleotides. Lineage: Eukaryota; Metazoa; Chordata; Actinopteri; Siluriformes; Bagridae. The record is from the annotation of a RefSeq genome assembly.